UUUAUGGAGAGUUUGAUCCUGGCUCAGGAUGAACGCUGGCGGCGUGCCUAAUACAUGCAAGUCGAGCGAACUGACGAGGAGCUUGCUCCUUUGACGUUAGCGGCGGACGGGUGAGUAACACGUGGGUAACCUACCUAUAAGACUGGAAUAACUCCGGGAAACCGGGGCUAAUGCCGGAUAACAUAUCGAACCGCAUGGUUCGAUAGUGAAAGACGGUCUUGCUGUCACUUAUAGAUGGACCCGCGCCGUAUUAGCUAGUUGGUGAGGUAAUGGCUCACCAAGGCAACGAUACGUAGCCGACCUGAGAGGGUGAUCGGCCACACUGGAACUGAGACACGGUCCAGACUCCUACGGGAGGCAGCAGUAGGGAAUCU
This 374-nucleotide ribosomal RNA is filed under the name Staphylococcus chromogenes. RNAcentral's name for it is "bacterial SSU rRNA". It matches the Rfam family "Bacterial small subunit ribosomal RNA", at positions 1 to 364 of the family's 1533-position model. Lineage: Bacteria; Bacillati; Bacillota; Bacilli; Caryophanales; Staphylococcaceae. The record is from RNAcentral.